AAAAUGUUUCUGGGAGUUGUAUUUCAGUUAAUAGCUUUCAUAUCUUAAAGUGUCAUAAUUGAACUACAAGUUCCAGAAACCCAGGCUACUGACUAUGUUCUCUAUAUCAUGGCACAAGGAACAAAAAUGUUUUUUUUUUGUUUUUUUGUUGUUGUUGUUGUGGGGAUAGGGCUUCCUCAAAAUAACUACCCACUGGCAUAAACACCCUUUAGGCAAGUAUGCACAAUAAAUGUAAACUCACUCUUGUUAGAAGCCAAUAGUUUCCAGUUAGAUUUAUGAAGAUAAAUGUUAUACAAUAAUACAUUGUAGAAAUCAG
Non-coding RNA from Pelobates cultripes (western spadefoot toad), 316 nucleotides. The record is from the annotation of a GenBank genome assembly. Lineage: Eukaryota; Metazoa; Chordata; Amphibia; Anura; Pelobatidae.